CCCAGACUCUUCUCAACCCUAGUCUAAAAUCACGUGAUCAGCAGGGACGUCAGCAGCUUGUCCCGGGUGGUGACAGAAGUCAGAUGAGGGGUCAAAUCCUGAGGGAGGGAGACGCAUAGACGGACUUUCAGUCUCUUUCAGCUCGAUGUGAAAAUUUACAUGUACUGAGACAGAAUAGUUGUCUGUAGCACCGCCUCAGAAUUACAUCUGAAAUGUCCGCUGGAACAUCUGUACUGCUCAGCUGGACCCAGCUGUGGCUCUGCCUCCUUGUUUUGGUCCGUGCAGACCAGAAAAACAUAACAUCUAAGUCUGGACAGAACGUCAUUCUGCCAUGUCGAGCUCCAAAGAAGGACAUCUGCAUCAUUGUUUUAGAGUGGAGCAGAGCUGACCUGGGAGAAGAAUAUGUCCUAACGUACCGAGACGAGCAGUUUGAUCCAGAUGAGCAGCAUCCAUCUUUUAAGAACCGGGUGGAUCUGCAGGACAGACAGAUGAAGGAUGGAAACUGGUCUUUGAUUGUGAAGGAUGUGAUGAUUAACGACACUGGAACAUACAAGUGUCGUGUCUUCAUGAGAGAAACACGCUUGUGGGAAUCCAUCAACACCAUCUACCUUCAUGUUGAUCCUCCAGGUCAGACAGGAGGAGGCAGAUUUGUCCCACUGAUACUUUGUCUACUUGGUUCCACUGUCUUUAUUGUGGUCAGUUUUCUGAUCUACAGAAGAAAACCCCACAAAUAGGAUUCACACGUCCUUCCUGUUGAACAGCAGUGUAUUUAAAAUGUCUCAGAGCUUUUUAACUGUGAACUGAGUCGCUUGCAAUUGUUACUAAAUAUUUAUUAGAGUUUUCUCAUUUUAAAGAAAAGCUAGGCAGCUUUUAUUCAUUACAUUUUUAAGCACUGCUUACAUGUAUUUGCACAUGUCUGGAUUUGUCAAUAUAUUUACUUCUAAUAUGCAUUUUAUUGUUAAUGUUAAUGAAAUUAAAGCUGAAGUUCCUGAUUCACCGCCCAACCCAAUAUGCAUUUUUAUCUGUUUAUUGGGUUUCUUUUUACAGUGUUUUAAAGUCUUAACUGUGAAUACAAAUUGUAUUUUAAUGACUGAACAUGUGUUGCUGUGUUGAUAUGUGCCUGUUUCUUUUAAAAUGUGUAUGUUUGUUUUUAAAUGUUUUCUCAAUCUUGCCCCACCUUACCUCUCUGAGCUUCUUCAUCCCUACACACCCUGUUGGUCUCUUACUUGCUUAGUUGGAGUACCGAGAUCUGGGAGGAAGCUCAGAGGGGACAGGGCCUUCUCUAUCGUGGCUCCUGAGUUUAGAGAGGUCCCAUCUCUGUCCACUAUUAAAACACGCCUUUGGCCUUUGACCUCAGUGAGACUUAGUGUCUCUUGUAUUUAAAUGUGUUAUUUAAUUAAUUAUUUUAGUUUUCUUUUAUUUGCUUUCAAUUAAAUCAAAUGUUAUUUUUAUUAUUUAGUUCCGAUCUAUAGCACUUUGCGCCAGCUGUGGUUGCUUUAAAAGAUGAUGGUGAUACUUGUGCUCAUUGUAAUUCAGUCUAUAUCUUAAAUGUUUUUUUGUAUUAUUUUAUGCUUUAUAAUGUUCUUAUUUUUUUACUCUAAUUUGUUUACAGUGUUUGGUGCUUAGAAUUAAAAAAAAUAAAAUAAAAUCAUAAUUAAAGAAAAACUGAAAUAGAAUAAUCUGAAUUUUAAUCAGUCUUAAGAAAACAAACAUCAACCUUGCCACUUAAAAAUAUUAGAAAUGAGAAAUAAUCAAAAUCAUGCCAAUUUAGUCAUGUUUACAAAUCAUGCCACACUAAAUCAUGUCAUCAUGAUUUAUCAUGAUGUUAUCAUGUCACUUGUACAAACUCAUCUGAUAUUGUGGACC
Astatotilapia calliptera (eastern happy) is the source of this 1866-nucleotide long non-coding RNA. NCBI's taxonomy places the organism in Eukaryota, Metazoa, Chordata, Actinopteri, Cichliformes, Cichlidae. The record is from Ensembl.